Molecule: ribosomal RNA, 425 nt
Filed under: Capnocytophaga gingivalis
Lineage: Bacteria; Pseudomonadati; Bacteroidota; Flavobacteriia; Flavobacteriales; Flavobacteriaceae
Description: bacterial SSU rRNA
Rfam family: Bacterial small subunit ribosomal RNA
Source: RNAcentral
GAUGAACGCUAGCGGCAGGCCUAACACAUGCAAGUCGAGGGAGAAGCCUUUCGGGGCAGAAACCGGCGCACGGGUGCGUAACGCGUAUGCAACCUACCUUUCACAGGGGGAUAGCCCGAAGAAAUUUGGAUUAAUACCCCAUAAUAUUGUUGGAUGGCAUCAUUUGGCAAUUAAAACUGCGGUGGUGGAAGAUGGGCAUGCGUCCUAUUAGCUAGUUGGAGUGGUAACGGCACCCCAAGGCUACGAUAGGUAGGGGUCCUGAGAGGGAGAUCCCCCACACUGGUACUGAGACAGGGACCAGACUCCUACGGGAGGCAGCAGUGAGGAAUAUUGGUCAAUGGUCGGAAGACUGAAUCAGCCAUGCCGCGUGCAGGAAGAAUGCCUUAUGGGGUUGUAAAACUGCUUUUAUAUGGGAAGAAUAAAGG